GGCAACGCAGGCCUUCUGGUGCUUUACGACGACGGUUUUUCCGUGGCGCAAUGCUUCGUCAUCCACCCAGAACCAGCCCCCUCGGUGGCGAACCCCUCUAAGCUCAAGCGCUCCAAUUCCAAACACCAGCGUCCGGCGCCCUCCGAUCUGCCCGACCCUCCCCAUGAUCACCAUCAUCAUCAUCAGAUGCUCGCCGGAAGGCCGCCGCCCAGCUCGACCAAGGCGCUCGCAGCCCCUGUAAGCUUCGGCCACUGUCUACCAAGCUCGACAGCAUGAUCCACGACCACCACAGCGGCGAGGGUAGCAGCGCCCCCGUCUGUGCCUCCUCGAGAAAUGUCAUACUCUAUGCGAAUCUCGGGAACAUCUGUGUGCCGCCGUCACCCCUAACCCCAACCGCAGUGUGCUCGAUCACCUCUCCAGAGAAAGCGUCCCACUGGGGCAACAAGGUCGCUGCCCAGCCUCAUGGGAAAGGGAGCGGCAUUAACGAAUCCAUGGAUCAUGACCGGAAAUGUUCCUAAGACCGGCUGGUGCAUCCACCUUUGGGAUGGCCUCAGUGGGAGAAGGUGGGAAGCGAGGGCCGAAAAGAAGGUAGAAAAGAAGUCCCUUUCUAUUUUGAGUUGAAUUGCGCUGUAACGAUGACCUUGGGAUGCUUGGAUGCCUUCCAAUUUAAACAGGGCUAUGGGCUUCGAUGGAGACUUUUUCUGCUUACAAAAGUUUAGUUGCUUUAAUCUUCAAAGCAUAAAUGUAGGUAGGCCAAGACCACACGUAGGGGUUGCAAGAGAUUUUUUUUAAAAAUUUUUUGAGAUAAAAUGAAGCAAGACAUUUCCCAUUAACAUAUUAAAAGAGUUACAAGAGGAAUUGAAUUUGUUGAAUAUAUGAGUGCUAUUUAAUGAAUGGACAUGAUUUCAUCGCUUAUAGCACUUUUUGAUUUUCGAAG
RNAcentral lists this long non-coding RNA (937 nucleotides) under Elaeis guineensis (African oil palm). RNAcentral's name for it is "long non-coding RNA (EGUI_LNC058643)". The record is from RNAcentral. Lineage: Eukaryota; Viridiplantae; Streptophyta; Magnoliopsida; Arecales; Arecaceae.